UACGUAGGGUCCGAGCGUUGUCCGGAAUUACUGGGCGUAAAGAGCUCGUAGGUGGUUUGUCGCGUUGUUCGUGAAAACUCACAGCUCAACUGUGGGCGUGCGGGCGAUACGGGCAGACUAGAGUACUGCAGGGGAGACUGGAAUUCCUGGUGUAGCGGUGGAAUGCGCAGAUAUCAGGAGGAACACCGGUGGCGAAGGCGGGUCUCUGGGCAGUAACUGACGCUGAGGAGCGAAAGCGUGGGGGAGCGAACAGG
This 254-nucleotide ribosomal RNA is filed under the name uncultured bacterium. RNAcentral describes it as "partial 16S ribosomal RNA". It matches the Rfam family "Bacterial small subunit ribosomal RNA", at positions 524 to 776 of the family's 1533-position model. The record is from RNAcentral.